RNAcentral lists this non-coding RNA (200 nucleotides) under Saccharopolyspora spinosa. The record is from RNAcentral. Lineage: Bacteria; Bacillati; Actinomycetota; Actinomycetes; Pseudonocardiales; Pseudonocardiaceae.
GUCAUCGCGAGGUGGGGUCGGAAGGAAGCCCGAGGCGAGACCUCUGCACCGGGACACGAAUCGCGUAGGAGGCGUGCUGGCUGGGGUGAGCCUGCAACGGAAGGUGAAGCCCGACAUCACCACGACGACAUCACGGCUUGCCGGGGCAUUUUUCGGUGCUCCGGCAAGCCGUUAACCGCGAUGCGGAGAGGGUUCAGUGC